This 484-nucleotide unclassified non-coding RNA is filed under the name Hevea brasiliensis (rubber tree). The record is from RNAcentral. Lineage: Eukaryota; Viridiplantae; Streptophyta; Magnoliopsida; Malpighiales; Euphorbiaceae.
CAGCCACAAACAACCUGUCGAGGGGUGAGUUCAUUUAUUUUGAAUGGUUCAUAUCUGGUGCAGAAUGUUAGCUUGCUAAAAAUCUAAUUCAAACCACUAUAGAUUAGUCAUGAAUUAUAUAUAAAUUUGUGGUCUGGGUUAAAUUUUUGUAGUUUACUAUGAGAAGUCUGUAGUGCCCAUUCAGGCAUGUUGUUGAGUGUUAAUCAUAGUGUUGUCUUAGUUAAGUGUAGUUCAUGUUAUAUUAGGUUGUUAAGAGUCGAAAUUGAUUAGAAUCGUAGUUAAUUUCUUAAGACUGGUUCAUUAUUCUGGUUGUUUGUGUUGCACAACUCAAAUUAACUUAUGGUUUAGAGGAUAUUUGCAUAUAAUUCAUUGGAUGAGAUAAUUGCACGUGAAUUCAAAGCUAGUAAAAUUUGUCAAAAUUAAAAUGAUAUAUGAGGUUUAGUUGAAGUUAAACAUUCAUAGCCCUUAUAUAGUUUAAAACUUG